RNAcentral lists this transfer RNA (78 nucleotides) under Dehalococcoidia bacterium. Its description in RNAcentral is "tRNA-Gly". It matches the Rfam family "tRNA". From Rfam's summary of the family: Transfer RNA (tRNA) molecules are approximately 80 nucleotides in length. Their secondary structure includes four short double-helical elements and three loops (D, anti-codon, and T loops). Lineage: Bacteria; Bacillati; Chloroflexota; Dehalococcoidia. RNAcentral also lists the same sequence under 1 other name. The record is from RNAcentral.
GCGGCUGUCGUCUAGCCUGGUCUAGGACAUCAGCUUGCCAAGCUGGUAGCCCGGGUUCAAAUCCCGGCAGCCGCACCA